Molecule: long non-coding RNA, 457 nt
Filed under: Bos taurus (domestic cattle)
Lineage: Eukaryota; Metazoa; Chordata; Mammalia; Artiodactyla; Bovidae
Description: long non-coding RNA NONBTAT024465
Source: RNAcentral
GAAACCUGCAUAUGUUGUUUACUAGCAGAUGACAUCUACAAAAGGUAUUUGAAGAACACCGAAACUUGUAAUUUUUUGUAGAUUAGCUAGCAGGUCUGAUAUUUAAAAAGGUAAUUCAGCUAAAGGACAAUUUACUUUUUGUACUUCAGACUAUCUUGAUUGUCAAGGUGUACGAACUGUAAUUUUAAAAUUUAUACUGCCACAUGAUUGUAAAUUUUAGUUGUCUUAAGUUAGUAAUGGGUGAAAAGCUAUUUAUGCUGGAUAUGGGUCAAAAAUGACUAUUAUUUGCAAUAUUGUAACGUAUAUUGCUGCUCUUCUUAAAAUUAAAUAAGGGUUUAAAACCACUUAAUUGGUAAUUGACAACAUCUCAAUUGACAGAUAAGGUGUGCUUGGUAUACAUAUUUUCUUCCAAAGACUUUUCUUUGGUUAGAAACACACAAAAAUUGAAACUAGUAAU